This 253-nucleotide ribosomal RNA is filed under the name uncultured bacterium. RNAcentral describes it as "partial 16S ribosomal RNA". It matches the Rfam family "Bacterial small subunit ribosomal RNA", at positions 524 to 776 of the family's 1533-position model. The record is from RNAcentral.
UACGUAGGGGGCUAGCGUUGUCCGGAUUUAUUGGGCGUAAAGAGCGUGUAGGCGGCCAGGUAGGUCUGGUGUGAAAACUCGAGGCUUAACGUCGAGAUGUCAUCGGAAACCAUUUGGCUAGAGUCCGGAAGAGGAGAGUGGAAUUCCUGGUGUAGCGGUGAAAUGCGCAGAUAUCAGGAAGAACACCAAUGGCGAAAGCAGCUCUCUGGGACGGUACUGACGCUGAGACGCGAAAGCGUGGGGAGCGAACAGG